This 465-nucleotide ribosomal RNA is filed under the name Vreelandella stevensii. RNAcentral describes it as "partial 16S ribosomal RNA". It matches the Rfam family "Bacterial small subunit ribosomal RNA", at positions 338 to 795 of the family's 1533-position model. Lineage: Bacteria; Pseudomonadati; Pseudomonadota; Gammaproteobacteria; Oceanospirillales; Halomonadaceae. The record is from RNAcentral.
CCUACGGGUGGCUGCAGUGGGGAAUAUUGGACAAUGGGGGGAACCCUGAUCCAGCCAUGCCGCGUGUGUGAAGAAGGCCCUCGGGUUGUAAAGCACUUUCAGUGAGGAAGAACGCCUGGUGGUUAAUACCCAUCAGGAAAGACAUCACUCACAGAAGAAGCACCGGCUAACUCCGUGCCAGCAGCCGCGGUAAUACGGAGGGUGCGAGCGUUAAUCGGAAUUACUGGGCGUAAAGUGCGCGUAGGUGGCUUGAUAAGCCGGUUGUGAAAGCCCCGGGCUCAACCUGGGAACGGCAUCCGGAACUGUCAAGCUAGAGUGCAGGAGAGGAAGGUAGAAUUCCCGGUGUAGCGGUGAAAUGCGUAGAGAUCGGGAGGAAUACCAGUGGCGAAGGCGGCCUUCUGGACUGACACUGACACUGAGGUGCGAAAGCGUGGGUAGCAAACAGGAUUAGAUACCCUAGUAGUC